UGGAUCACCUCCUAACAGGGAGACAACAAAAUGUUUAAUAUUAUUAUUUUGUCACCUUAGGUCGAUCGGUAUCUCACGUUCUUAAUUUAUUAAGAAUUUCAUUUCCUAAGUUUUUCUAGAUCACACCCAUUAUUUUUCCUGGGCCAUUAGCUCAGGUGGUUAGAGCGCACCCCUGAUAAGGGUGAGGUCCCUGGUUCAAGUCCAGGAUGGCCCAUAUCUCUAUGUUGGGGGUAUAGCUCAGUUGGUAGAGCGCCUGCUUUGCAAGCAGGAUGUCAGCGGUUCGAGUCCGCUUACCUCCGCUGAUUACCGCCUCUACCAUAAUUUGUAGAAAGGAAAAUUUUUGAGUUGUGAUCAAAUUCUGAACGAAUCUAGCUUCCUAAUGAAAUCAUUAAGAUGCUGGACUCAUUGAAUUAAUUUCAUUGUUUUCAGAGAACCUUGACAACUGCAUAGAUUAUUUUUAAAGACAAUAAGCAUCUUUAAUGAUGCAGAUUUAUUAUUUGUGCGAAUGCAUUAAUAACAAUUCUAUUAAGCUGAUGCUUCAAUUUUGAAGUUAUUGGUCAAGCUACAAAGGGCUCACGGAGGAUACCUAGGCACACAGAGGCGAUGAAGG
This 610-nucleotide transfer RNA is filed under the name uncultured Prochlorococcus sp. Its description in RNAcentral is "partial contains 16S ribosomal RNA, 16S-23S ribosomal RNA intergenic spacer, and 23S ribosomal RNA". The stretch from base 227 to 299 matches the Rfam family "tRNA". The record is from RNAcentral. Lineage: Bacteria; Bacillati; Cyanobacteriota; Cyanophyceae; Synechococcales; Prochlorococcaceae.